RNAcentral lists this unclassified non-coding RNA (523 nucleotides) under Anelosimus eximius. RNAcentral describes it as "partial contains 16S ribosomal RNA and tRNA-Leu (trnL)". The stretch from base 104 to 401 matches the Rfam family "Bacterial large subunit ribosomal RNA", at positions 2074 to 2646 of the family's 2925-position model. Lineage: Eukaryota; Metazoa; Arthropoda; Arachnida; Araneae; Theridiidae. The record is from RNAcentral.
UUGUUUUUUAAUUAAAAACUAGAAUGAAAGGUUAUACAUUUAAAUUUCUUUAUUAAUUUUUUAUAUAUAAUUUAUAUUAAAUAUAAAAAUAUAUUUUUUAAAUAAAAAGACGAUAAGACCCUAUUAAAUUUUACUUAUAGUUUAACUGGGGAAGUUUUAAAAAUAAAAUUUUUUAUAAAAAUAAAAAUAAAUCUAAUAAAAUUAAAAUUAAAUUAAAUUACUAUAGGGAUAACAGCAUUAUAUUUUUUAAAAGUUCAUAUUAAAAAAAAUGAUUGUGACCUCGAUGUUGAAUUAUAUUUUCUUUAUUAAUGCAAUAAUUAUAAAAGUAGAUCUGUUCGAUCUUUAAAAUAUUACAUGAUUUGAGUUCAAACCGGUGUAAACCAGGUUGGUUUCUAUCUUUUUAUAAAUUCAUAUAUAUAUGUAUAUAUAUAAAUUUUUCAAGUACGAAAGGAAAAAAAAAUUUUUAUUUUAAUUAAUUAGCAAUUAAUAUGCAUUAGAUUUAGAAUCUAAAUAAACUAUUAUU